UAAACCGCCUAACAAAAAUUGGCCUCCAAAUAUUUGAUCAGGCAAGAAACCCAAAUACAUAGAACAGGACAUCACGAUAACAUUCACGCUGCGCAUCACAAGUCGAACCCAAUGCAUCAUUCAUGUUCCACAUCGACAGUGUUACUCGACACAACAGAAAGGAAAUUCACCCGACGGUGUGUUCUUCCGUUUACAAUCCGAACGGCAAGGAGCAGUGAGUUGCAAAACACUGCGCCACCCCUUGUUCCCACUGAUUUCCGAGCUCUCCAUGGUACCCAACU
Molecule: long non-coding RNA, 281 nt
Filed under: Helianthus annuus (common sunflower)
Lineage: Eukaryota; Viridiplantae; Streptophyta; Magnoliopsida; Asterales; Asteraceae
Description: sRNA HanXRQr2_Chr06g0242991
Source: RNAcentral